Molecule: ribosomal RNA, 484 nt
Filed under: uncultured bacterium
Lineage: Bacteria
Description: partial 16S ribosomal RNA
Rfam family: Bacterial small subunit ribosomal RNA
Source: RNAcentral
AUUGAACGCUGGCGGCAGGCCUAACACAUGCAAGUCGAGCGGAUGAAGGGAUCUUGCUCCUGGAUUCAGCGGCGGACGGGUGAGUAAUGCCUAGGAAUCUGCCUGGUAGUGGGGGAUAACGUCCGGACACGGGCGCUAAUACCGCAUACGUCCUGAGGGAGAAAGUGGGGGAUCUUCGGACCUCACGCUAUCAGAUGAGCCUAGGUCGGAUUAGCUAGUUGGUGGGGUAAAGGCCUACCAAGGCGGCGUUCCGUAACUGGUCUGAGAGGAUGAUCAGUCACAAUGGAACUGAGACACGGUCCAGACUCCUACGGGAGGCAGCAGUGGGGAAGAUUGGACAAUGGGCGAAGGCCUGAUCCAGCCAUGCCGCGGGUGUGAAGAAGGUCUUCGGAUUGUAAAGCACUUUAAGUUGGGAGGAAGGGCAGUAAGUUAAUACCUUGCUGUUUUGACGUUACCAACAGAAUAAGCACCGGCUAACUUCGUG